GAACCGGACGGACGUUAUUCGGAAUUACUGGGGCUUAAAGGGUGCGUAGGCGGGCUUGGCAGGUGGGGGGUGUGAAAUCCCUCGGGCUCAACCGAGGAACUGCGCUCCAAACCGCCGGGCUUGAGGAAGGCAGAGGUGAGCGGAACUCAGGGUGGAGCGGUGAAAUGCGUUGAUAUCCUGGGAACACCGGUGGCGAAGGCGGCUCACUGGGCCUUUUCUGACGCUCAGGCACGAAAGCCAGGGGAGCGAACGGGAUUAGAUACCCCGGUAGUCCUGGCUGUAAACGAUGAGCACUAGACCGAGGGAACCUCCACAUUUUCUCGGUCGUAGCGAAAGUGUUAAGUGCUCCGCCUGGGGAGUAUGGUCGCAAAGGCUG
Molecule: ribosomal RNA, 376 nt
Filed under: uncultured organism
Description: partial 16S ribosomal RNA
Rfam family: Bacterial small subunit ribosomal RNA
Source: RNAcentral